Molecule: non-coding RNA, 606 nt
Organism: Fundulus heteroclitus (mummichog)
Lineage: Eukaryota; Metazoa; Chordata; Actinopteri; Cyprinodontiformes; Fundulidae
Source: the annotation of a RefSeq genome assembly
AUGGAAACGCCAGAGAAAGCCAAAAACUGGUUGCUGACAGUGCAGGAGGUUUUUGUACGGCCUCUUAAUGACUUUGUAUCACUGUGGUGGACUUUUGGUGGAGGAACCAAACUCAACGUUGACUUGGGUGUGGUGCGGCCCACCCUGACCGUCCUCCCCCCCUCCAAAGAGGAGGAGCAGCAGAGCAGCGUCACACUGGUGUGUCUGGCCAGCGGAGGCUUCCCCUCAACCUGGAGGCUGGGCUGGAAGGUGGGGGGCAGCAGCAGGUCCUCAGGGGUGUCUAACAGCCUGGAGGUCCUGGGGAGGGACGGCCUCUACAGCUGGAGCAGCACCCUGAGCCUCCCUGCAGACCAGUGGAGGAAGGCGGGCUCAGUGAGCUGUGAGGCCAAUCAGAGUGGACAGAGUCCUGUCACUCAAAGCCUGGACCCUGCCCGCUGCUCAGAGUAGAGCCUCAGCUUCAUGUCUGCAAGUCAGGAUGCUCUCAGAGUUUAUUCAGCAAGAUUACUUUUCAUAUUUAGAGUGAUUUCUAAAACUCAUCUUACUCAUGUUCUCUGAUAAAAGUAGAAGUGAAGGGAUUGUUUCAAUAAAAGUACAGAUUUAUGAUAA